This 2558-nucleotide small RNA is filed under the name Pongo abelii (Sumatran orangutan). RNAcentral's name for it is "processed transcript". The record is from RNAcentral. Lineage: Eukaryota; Metazoa; Chordata; Mammalia; Primates; Hominidae.
ACAUUGCAGCCUUCUGCAAGGAUGGGGUGGUACUGUCCUCCUCAGUUUUCAUUCUCUUUCAUUUUAAAAUGAUAAACCUGGGUCAGAGGAUAUUUAGGAAGAGGCAUUGUCAUUAAGUCCAAGACAAGAUGGUCAGAUUUGUUAUCCUAGUGGGUUACAAUCCAAAAUACUCCGGAGCAUGCUGAGAUUAAGGUGGUUGCCAAGGGAAGAGAAAACAGCCAUGAGUAAAUAAAUCAAGAAUUUAAAGGAUUUAGAUCGGGUCUAUGGCCAGUUGCAGAGUGGGCAGGAUCUUAUGACCCGAUAGGUGCAGGACCCAUCUGAACACGGAGACCAGGAAUGGGGUUCCAUGGAGGCCUAGCUGGCACUGCACCCAGGCAUGAGGACACAUCCAGUAAGAAGACCUGCCUCAAGAGGUGCACUGCGGUGACCAGUGGAGGUGACUGGUUGGAGCCUGGAAUUGGAGGCAGAUUCCAAGCUCUGGUGGACAAACUCCCCAGGCCUGGUGGGAAUCACAGCUGGGGCAGACCUCAUCCUGGCUGCCUGGCCACAGGCCCCCACUCUCUGCCACUGGUGGUAGGACGAUGCCUGUGUGGAGAGCUGGCUUCUCUGCUCCCGCCUGGUCCACCACUUGGCUAGAGUUCAGAGACAGGAAGUGAUUGGUCGAAGCUAGCACAGCAAGUUGGUGGCAGACCUGGUUCUAGAGGCAAAACCUUCUGCCAGAUGUGAAUGAAACCUGCAGGCUUCAUUUUCCUUUCUGAGCAGUGCUUCUUAGCACUUUGGAGACACGAAGCCCUUGGAAAAUCUGAUGAAGGUUACGGACCUUCCCUAGGAAAACAGAUAACUGAUGUAGACUCAAAAACCCCAAGGAAUUUCAGGAGCCACUGGACUCCCUGAAUGAAACCCAUCCCUGGACUCCAGGCUAUCACCUGCUGCCCUUUCCUUACCUGUCACACAUUGAGCCCCGAGUCAAGGCCACUGUAAAAGUAGUGCCCCUCCCUGCCCCUGGCCAAGACUCCUUCCCUUGUUCAGGAAUAAAUAAUUCCAAGGAGGAGACCUUUUUAGUCAGUCCCUUCUCCCAGACGUAACGAAUGAUGCAUCAGGUUUCUGGAACCUCAUUUCCCUUCCCCAGACAUUGGCAGAGGUCCCUUGGGCGAGAUUUUCUCUUCUGGUUUUGUUUCUUGUUCUGCCUGACUGGCCACUGGCUUCCACAAAGGAGCCCUUUGCUCCUGGCCUGGGCUCUGAUUUCACCGUGUGGUCUCAGGGGAAGCUGGACUGCUGUGGAUGCUGGUAGGAGCUUGAGUUUGGUCUGAGUCUGCCCCAGGGAGAAAGAAUCCUGCUUCCACCAACCAAGUCCAGUCAGCAGUACCUCCCAGCUGGCCAAGUGUUCAGCCCAGCGGGCUGGGGAGGAAGAGGAUGAGGGCCUCGAUCCUGGUGCCUGUGGCUCUGGGCAGGGUGAGAGGUCGGUGGAGGAGCUUCUGUGUGUUCUCUGAGUGUGCAGCAGUGCAGUUGAAGGGAACAGGGCCCAGGCUGGCAGCAGGGCGAGGACUCCUCCCAUCUUCACACCUGAACCAGUCAGCCUGGAAGCUACAAGUUCUCACCUGCUUCCCCAGAAUGAACAUCAGAAAAGGCAAAACUGACCAGGGCUGGGAUGGGUUUGGGUCAGCGUGGUUGGAGGGCAGCCUGUGGAUCCCCGCACUGGAGUCUUGCUGUCUUCGAUGCAGUUUGGAUCAUACAUUCUUCCCUCCUACUGUAUGCCUCACCCUGGAAUAGCAGAAUGCUCAGGGGGAGAUCCGAGAAUGAGAAGGUGCUCCCAGCCCCAGGAGCUUCCAAUCUGGCUCUAAUCCUUGGCCGACCUAGAGGAAACCUCCACACACACCCCUCCUGUGCUAAUGGUGCAGUUUGUGUCCCCCUCUGCCCAUCACUGUGCUGUGCUUGUUCCUGCCUCUGUGCCUUCCCCUAUAUUGCUUGGACAUGUCCCCUUUCCUCUCCUCUACCCAGCUAAGCCCUUCUGAUCCACGGGGCCCGGCUUCCCAAACCACCCAGCCCACAUUCCUCCUUCCCGCUCCGAACAGGCCCUGUGUGAGCCCUUGCCCCUGAACUGCGUGCUGUCCCACGGACGCUCCAGUCUCUUCUGUGUGUGUCUUGAGUCCCCAACUAGACAGUUAGCUCCCUGAGGGCAAGGGACUGUCAUUUCCUCUUGAGCCCUACCAGGGUCUAGCACAGGACUGGGCUCCUAACUCUCAGGAAACACUCGUCGACUGACUGGUGCCUCAAGUGCUGGAGCUUGUCGGUGGCCGGUAAUUGGCAGUGCACGUGGGGAGAGGGUAUGUGAGUUAACUCAAGGGUGCCUUUUAUUGGGCUGUGGGCUGGCUCCCCUGGGUCAAAAGUGGAUGUCAGAGUCCUCAGGCUCUUACCUCCUUGGGGCAGUGGGAGCAUCAGGGACUGCCUGCCCUGGCUCUGCAGGACUGCACAGAAGUGGUUGUCCAGCCUGGAUAUUUCUAUAGGUUGCUGACACCUGCGGGAGCUGACUGAGUGGAAUAAAUGUUCUCUCAACAUCA